CGACGCGCCCGAGGCCCAGCCCGAGCCGCCGCCAACACAGCCCGAGCCGGUGGCGCCGCCGCCGCAAACGCCGCACGAGACGGUUCGGCCGUACUCGCCGCGGCGCUUCCCGCUGCCCGACGCGGCCUACCAGGCCAUGGUGGCGUGCAUGCCCGACGGACACCUGCCGCCCGCGCCCGACAGCCCGCAGCCGGAGCUGCCUCCGGACGAAGACACCAGCUCGCUGUCGCCGCUCUCGGUGUCCCCUUACGGCGGCGACGACCCCGACGACGCCGAGUGGGAGCCCGCGCUCGAGAAGAACGCCUUCAGGUGAACACCCUGUAUCGCACCACCGCUGAACUGUUGCAACUCGGAAACUUGCAAUUUGGGUAGUUACACCACUGGCAAUAAGGGUACAUCAUACUGUUAAAGCCACGUUUUCACUAGGGGACAUGUCGCAGAGAUAAGUCGCCGACAUUCACGUAGUUUGUCUCUGCAACUUUGUCCCUCGACAUAUGACUUGUUCACACUAGCCAGUAGUGAACAGUAUGUCGCCCGAGGGGCGACACAAAGCGACACGCGUCCUCACUACUCAAAGUAGUGUUGCCGAACUAUCGAUAGUAAAACUAUCGAUAGUUUUCAUUCGAAAAAGCCUUCUCCAUCGAUAGGCCUAUCGAUAGUAUCGAUACUGUCGAUACUAUCGAUAGCACAAAACGAUUCAAUACUAUUGAAUAUGUGCAAUACUAUCGAUAGUAUUGUUGCUCGUGAAGAAUAAACUAUCGAUAGUAUCGAUACUAUCGAUUGUUCUAGACUAUCGAUAGUCUGUAAAUUUGCAAUAGUAUUGGGUAUGUUUAAAUUCAUUUUUACAAUAUUUCAAAUGUUUCGCUUGACUUACCAACUAACAUAUAACUAAAAAUAAUGAUCUCACUUGUAUUUAAAACUACCUGCAUUAGUUAAGUACGGCAAAUAAAAUGUAUUGCCAAUUUUGGAAACAUAUAAUUAAAUGUUAUGGUUAACUAUAUGAAAUAAUUCAAGUAUUCCAAUAACCCUAUUGUUGUGCCUAUUGACUAUUAUACCCAAAUAUUGUAAACGAUACUAUUGUAAAUUGCCAAACUAUCGAUAGUCUAGAACAAUCGAUAGUAUUGAUAGCUUUUUAUUCAAAAGCGACAAUAGUAUCGAUACUAUCGAUAGUUUAUUCUUCACGAGCAACAAUACUAUCGAUAGUAUCGAUAGUAUUGCACAUAUUCAAUAGUAUUGCCUCGUUUUGAGCUAUCGAUAGUAUCGAUAGUAUCGACAGUAUCGAUACUAUCGAUAGGCCAAUCGAUAGUCUUGCGAUAGUUUGACUAUCGAUAGACUAUCGAUAGUCUAUCGAUAGUCGACUAUCGAUCGGCAACACUAACUCAAAGGCUGUCGGGCGACUGUCGAGGGACACGAAGAUCGCGCAUGUCGACGCCCGCAGAGCAUCGACAAGCGACAAGUCUCGCGACCCGUAGAUGACAUCGCGCGGGACACGUGAAUUUCUUGUCGGGCGACAGUCGCGGGAUAAAUGUCUCCUAGUGAAAACGCGGCUUAAUACCUAGCGGAAUAGACCAACAAAGGACUGAGCGAGCGAGAUGUCACUAGCAGCAACAUUGUGUGAUAAACUAUAACAGAACCGUUUUUUGCAACUAUUUGACAGUUCGUUAGCACUCUUUGGCACGCUAAAAAUUUGAGUUCUGAGAAAUCGUGUGAAAUGAGAAAUGUGCUUCAUUUCAUAAACGUGGUGACUGAUUCAGUGAUUUAAUGGUAACUGAUUACUGAUUCAAAUAAUCCUGAAAACUGACACACAAAUGACAUCCUAAAAUCGGUUUCGUUUAACAGCUCGCGUUUGUUGCUUUAUUCCGAAGGAAUAUUAACUUGGGGCAACCGUAUUUUCGUCCACUAGUAGGCGCCACUGGCGAGUGAUAGAACCUUAUUCUACAGUGACGCUACCUACAAGUGAGUGCAAAUGCAAUGAUACAUCGUGUUUGCGCUCAACAGUUGGCGCACCCG
Long non-coding RNA from Ostrinia nubilalis (European corn borer), 2010 nucleotides. RefSeq lists it as uncharacterized. Lineage: Eukaryota; Metazoa; Arthropoda; Insecta; Lepidoptera; Crambidae. The record is from RefSeq and is a predicted model, not a curated record. The transcript is spliced from 3 exons.